This 1353-nucleotide long non-coding RNA is filed under the name Durio zibethinus. Its description in RNAcentral is "long non-coding RNA (DZIB_LNC001936)". Lineage: Eukaryota; Viridiplantae; Streptophyta; Magnoliopsida; Malvales; Malvaceae. The record is from RNAcentral.
GACAUGAGAGUUUCUUCUCAUCCAGCUCCUCGCGAAAAAAAUGACUAAAAAAUAUUUUAUUUUAUUCUUAAGAUAUAUAGGUAGUUACUGAAUAAUAGAUUGAAUCCUGGGAUUCUUUGCUUUGAGAUUUUAUCUGAUCUAUUUGAGAUUUUAUCUGAUCUAUUAUAAAUUUGUAUAUCUUGUUUGGAUAUAUAUUGGAUAUAUAUAUAAGUAAUUAAACAUGGAUUCUAUUUAUAGAUAAUGUCUUAUCUUGUUUUUGUUAUAAUGUUAUAACGAAUCUUUAUUUUGUUUUGUCUUUUUUAUCAUAUUCAUCUCGGAUCGACAAAAAUUUAACAAUCAAAUAAAAUGAAAAUAAAAUUUUUAAAAUGAAAAUAAAAAAAAAAAAUGAAAAUAAAAUUUUUAAAAUGAAAAUAAAAUUUUCGCGGGCGAAUAUUUACUCUUUCAAUAUCUAUUUCAGUUGUCGGGUUAACUCAUGACCUCUCAGAAUCAGAACAGAAUAAAAAGAAAUGAAGUGGUCUCUGGUUUGUUCCGCCAUCCUACCCGAUAAAUCAUUAGGAUUCGUUUUCAAUAGAAUCCUCUGCAUUCACGGGUUCCGUCGUCCCCAUCGCUUCUCGAUUAAUGCUUAGGUCUGAAUUCUCCAAUGGAGCCUUAAUUUAAUAUUUAAUAAAAAUUUAAUAUUUAAUAAAAAUAAAAAUUUAAUAUUUAAUAAAUAAUAUUUAAUAAAAAAAUUUGUUAAUUUGUUCUUUAGUCAACCUUCUCAGUCUUUAUUGACUUAAGGCUCUUGAUUUUUUCUUCGAUGAACAGAUAUUCAUCUAAUUAUUGAUGAAUCUCUAUUGAUGCUCUAUUACAUUGCUCUUUAUGAGAUGCUUCGUAGACCUUACAUAUUGGAAUCAUAUAUCAUUUCAUUUCUAUUUCUUUUUCUCUCUUUCUCUCAUCCUUCUAUUUAUCCACAUACUUUUUUAUUUUGCUUCACAAUUUAGAUAUAUUCAUAAUCAGAUUGGUUUUUUUUUACUUAACUUAAUGCAAAAAAAAGAUUUCAGUUGCUAUAAUGAUAUGACCAAUAUAUCAUAUCUUGACUGAUUCUUUGGAUCCAGAUAAUCCGAAGCGAUGAGUUGGUUAUUAGUGCUAUAGUUAUUAACUUAUACUGUGGUUCGCCCAUUUUUUUUUUUGAAUCCUAAGCCUAAAAACCCAACGAGUCGCACACUAAGCAUAGCAAUUAUAUCAAAUGAUCAAUCAAAUUUUUAUUUAACCUUAUAGAAUAUAGAAUUUAGAACUGCUCAUUUUUUUAUUGAACAUAAAAAAAUGAAAGAAUUUGUCAUUUUUUGUUCUAUCGCAGAAUAGAACGUAAAGACA